UUUUAUUUAUUUCCCGCACUCGCUUUUAUUUUAUUUAUUUCUCGCACUCGCUUUACUUUAUUUAUUUCUCGCACUUGCUUUAAGUUAUUUAUUUCCUCGCACUCGCUUUAAAUUAUUUACUUUCCGCACUCGCACUACUUUUAUUUAUUUUAAUGCACUUUUACUUUACCAUGUCUAGCUAAAUUUAUAAGGUUAGGAUGUAAGGAUCAUAAUUGAACCGAUAAUCCGUACAAUUGUU
This 238-nucleotide long non-coding RNA is filed under the name Lathyrus oleraceus (garden pea). RNAcentral's name for it is "Pisum sativum (pea) long non-coding RNA (PSAT_LNC011299)". The record is from RNAcentral. Lineage: Eukaryota; Viridiplantae; Streptophyta; Magnoliopsida; Fabales; Fabaceae.